UGAUAUUUUGCUAUAAAUUAUCGCACUGUGCACAAUGCACACUUCACAGUGUUCAUGUACAUGUAGAUUGAUAUCGUGUGUAUUCUUUACAUGUUUGUUAUUCAUUUUGCCCUAGAAUACGCCCAACUUUGCGUUAUACAUCAGUCGUGUUUUAAAGUUUCGAGUGGACUUAUGAUUUUUUAGUAACAGAGCUUGAUCGCUACCAAAACAUAGUUGAAUUCGCUUUAUUUACACAAGUGAAAAGAUUUGAAAAAUGAGUGGAUUACUCAAAAAAAUGAAAGCGAAUUUGAUGUUUUUAAGCUUGUGUUGCCUACUACUGCUAGUAAAUGAGCAUCGAUCUGAAGAGUCAUCAGAAGUGCAACCCGAACAGCAAAGUGGAACGGUUCCACCAAAAAAUACAUCGUUAAAUCCUGGUACAACUUUCUUUUUUCCAUGUCCAGAUGGGGAAGAAAGAGAUGAGGAUACGGGAGAAUGUAAACCUAUAUUUUUAGUUUUUGCAUAAAUGCAAAACAAAGACAUUCUUCCAUUUGGGUCUUGCUGAAAAUCAUUUAUAGAAAUUGCUUUUAAUAAAGAAUAAACAAAACAUUGUAAA
This is a long non-coding RNA of Sitodiplosis mosellana (orange wheat blossom midge), 592 nucleotides long. RefSeq lists it as uncharacterized. The transcript is spliced from 2 exons. The record is from RefSeq and is a predicted model, not a curated record. Lineage: Eukaryota; Metazoa; Arthropoda; Insecta; Diptera; Cecidomyiidae.